RNAcentral lists this ribosomal RNA (265 nucleotides) under uncultured bacterium. Its description in RNAcentral is "partial 16S ribosomal RNA". It matches the Rfam family "Bacterial small subunit ribosomal RNA", at positions 333 to 615 of the family's 1533-position model. The record is from RNAcentral.
UAGUGCCUACGGGAGGCAGCAGGGGGGAAUAUUGCACAAUGGGGGGAACCCUGCUGCAGCGACGCCGCGUGGGUGAAGAAGUCAUUCGUGACGUAAAGCCCUAUCAGCAGGGAAGAAAAUGACGGUACCUGACUAAGAAGCCCCGGCUAACUACGUGCCAGCAGCCGCGGUAAUACGUAGGGGGCAAGCGUUAUCCGGAUUUACUGGGUGUAAGGGGAGCGUAGACGUCGGCGCAAGUCCGUAGUGAAAGCCCACGGCCCAACCG